RNAcentral lists this long non-coding RNA (1489 nucleotides) under Physcomitrium patens. Its description in RNAcentral is "long non-coding RNA (PPAT_LNC012136)". Lineage: Eukaryota; Viridiplantae; Streptophyta; Bryopsida; Funariales; Funariaceae. The record is from RNAcentral.
AAAAAAUAAUGAUAAUUUGAAAUAUUAAUUUCAAUUAAAUAAAAUAAAAAUAAAUAAAAAUAAAACUGAAAAGAACAUGUUGAGUUGGUGGCAAGUUGUGGUGGUAAUAUAAACUGUGGUGAUAUGAGGUGAAUGGCAAGUUGUGAUGAUCGUAACAAAAACUGGUGGCAUUAGCUAUACCCUUCCAUCCUAAUUGGUGAUGAUGGUCCAACUAGGAAUUUGAACCCGACCUGAGUAGCAUACUGUGUUAAUAUAUGGAUUAUAUACUGAAUUUUUCCCAGCUUUCUCGUGGGGUCGGGCAGGCGCACCGUUACACAUUGAGAGGUCGUAGAGCUACUUGACCAUGAAUGACGCCUCCUUUGAGAUCAGCUGAUCUUAUAACAAAAUCUCUAUAUGUAUCCAGGCUUGGGGUAAAGAAAAAGAGGUGUAAAGUAGGAUUCCUGACUAGAUUACAGCAAACAAAGAAUUGUAAUAAAAAUUGCCAUUGUAUCUCCCAUUCCUUAUUUUAUUCAAAUAGAAUUUUGCAGAAGAUAUACUUGUACUUCUCGUCAUCAUAAACAAUGCACAAAUAAUACAGAUUCUUAUCUUAGUUAUACAACGGUCCGUGUCCUUAUCGGUAUCUGCAAUGUAGGCUUGAACACACUAAAACAAAUCAAAUUUUGAAUGUAACUUGGCCAUCACUUAAAACGAAGAAAAAUGACGUUGCCAAAGACAGAACCCACCGACACAGGACAUUACAACCAACAAAAGAACCCCAUACACAAAAAGGACCUUGGUAAACUCACUGGCUAGCAUAUAAUUAAUACCAUGUUACAAAUAAUUGCUGCAGAAGCUAAAACAAUCCAGCAAGGCAAUUCUACUAAGUCUCUAUGUUUACUCUGUCCAAGCAAGCGAACCUGCCAGAAGUAACUGACUUGGUAGUGGUCCAGGACAUGGUGCCAUGUAUGUCACCUUUUUCCUGCAUAUCCAGAACGAUAAUCAAAAUUAGCUCGCAUAUAGCAGAUAUAUCUCUACUUACAUACUACUAAGAGAUAAAAACACUACAUCAAAAGUCAGAAUUUUCCAGAAAUCACCCCCUAAAGUGCCCCAUAAUUUUUGUAGGAGCUGUGGUUAUUAAUAGAUAAAAUAUCCGAGAUGCCUGUACUGGGCAAAACUGGAGCUAAGAGCCCAUUUUGGUUUUAUUUAAGACAAAUAGAGGAUCCUGUAAGGCCAAAAUGGAAAUUGGCAGAAUCAGAGAAGGUAUAACGGAUCUAUUUUCGAGACAAGCACAUCAAUCCCAAUCGAGACAGAGAUGGACGUUAGCAAAGAGGAUAAACAUCUACUGAACAUUGCAUUCCAAAAUGUAUGUAAUAAUUCAUCUCUUCAGAGAGUUCAAAUUUCCAUGACCACCCAGAUUCAUAAGCGAUGAAAGCCUGGAAAAUAGAAACUAAGGAGUGCAAGGGGCAAUACGACUACGACAUCGACAAUAGGAAAAAAUGAGAUCCUAACC